AGGAGCCCAGAGGGGUGAGCCUAGCUGAAAAGGGAGUAUUGAAAGGGAAGAGAAGAGAAGGAGGAAGGAAGGAGAGAGGACGGAAGAGAGGAAGAGAGAGACGAAGGCUUGAGAGGAAGACAAAGAGGAGGAAGACCAAGGAAGGAAAUCAACAGAAAGGAAGAAAGAGGAAGAGAAAGGGAGAGAAAGAGAAGAGGAAAGAAGACCAAGGAAGGAAAUCAACAGAGAGGAAGAGAAAGGGAGAGAAAGGGAAGCAAGAAGAGAGGAAAAGACCAAGGAAGGAAAUCAACAGAAAGGAAGAGAAAGGAAGAGAAAGAGAAGAGGGAAAGACAAAAGAAGGAAAUCAACAGAGAGAAAGAGGAAAGGGAGAAAACGAAGAAAGACAAGAGGAAAGAAGACCAAGAAAGGAAAUCAGGAGCUCCUGAAGGCUGCCUGGCUGGUGCCUCCCCAACACCUGCAGAAGCAGCUUAGUGGAGGACUGACGCCCGGCUGGACCCACACGUGCAGGAGCACACUCCCAGACCUCGCUGGUUCCCUCGGCAGCAAGGGGUCUACGAACGAGUUAAAUUUGAAUCCGACAUUCUUGUAACGUAUUGCAUUUCAUGUAAUUGUUAUCUUGUUCCUUUAAUAAACUGAUUCCACACAUU
Molecule: long non-coding RNA, 647 nt
Organism: Eriocheir sinensis (Chinese mitten crab)
Lineage: Eukaryota; Metazoa; Arthropoda; Malacostraca; Decapoda; Varunidae
Exons: 3
Source: RefSeq, a predicted model, not a curated record